AAAUAAAAAAUCGAUUUUGUUACUUUAUCGUAAUAUUUCGGAAUUGAGCUACCUUAAAUUUUUAGGUUUAAGAAGCUUAAAAUUGAUCAAUUUUUGGUAUGAUUUAAGCGUGCUAAGAUUACGUUUAAUGAGUAUCGAUGUUUAUUAGGUAUGUCCAUGAUCAUGGUUUUCGUACCCAUAAUAUUUUCAUG
RNAcentral lists this unclassified non-coding RNA (191 nucleotides) under Glomus tetrastratosum. RNAcentral describes it as "partial internal transcribed spacer 2". Lineage: Eukaryota; Fungi; Glomeromycota; Glomeromycetes; Glomerales; Glomeraceae. The record is from RNAcentral.